This 1180-nucleotide long non-coding RNA is filed under the name Oreochromis niloticus (Nile tilapia). Its description in RNAcentral is "lncRNA (ENSONIG00000042092.1)". Lineage: Eukaryota; Metazoa; Chordata; Actinopteri; Cichliformes; Cichlidae. The record is from RNAcentral.
UAUAGCGAAAGUCAGAUAGAGCGGGCAAGGCGCGGAGACAGAAACAAAGUAGUGGGAGCGAGGGAGCGACUGCGAGCAGCGGUGGUGUGAGAAGGGGCGUAUGGCACCCAUUAUCUUGUUUAUUAAAAGCAAGUUUCUUUCCUUCGCUCCCUCCUCCCCAUGCAGCUGACCGCAGAUAUUUCCAAGGGCCUCGCUCUGCUGUUCUGUGCCUACUUCACAGGCAGCUGGAAGGGUCACAGAAGUUGAAACCAGAGGGUGUCAAUCGCCUGUUUCGCUUUGUGACCCACUGGAGGCAUCUCAAAGCCAGAGAGAAGUGUGCAUGUGUACGAGCGGUAUGCGCCUGUUUGCAUGUGCGUGUGUAUAGCUGAGCAUAAUUUAUGUGUGCAUGUGCAUCUAGUGAUGAAGCACCAAUAAAACAAACUAUGAGGAAAGGGAGAGACUGCGCGCACUGUGUGGAAACUGCAAGACCUGCAGCUCCCGACGAAGCUGGAACUCAUCGUUCAGAGAGAACUGCGUCAAGAACAUGUUUAACCAUGCAGGAAUCAAGUGCAAAUGCACAACUGCUCUUAGUCUGGACUUCCUGGGAGUGUAUCAGGAGCGCUGGGAGCAGUGCUGUGCUUCACAAAGAGAUGAGAUAGACGGGACCUUUUUGUUCACCAAGUUGUCGUUUUUCCAAAUACUGCGACUGUUUCUCACACUCUCUUCACACGACUGUAUAAAAAUAUUAGACUACAUGAAUAUGAGGAUGAAUAAAUUGUUUGUCUUUGUCUGUGCUAUGGACUUCUCACUCUGCUCAUCUGGAUAUUACAUUUGUCUAGUCCUCAGCACCACCUCCUGCCCACAUCCAUGAAUCUUCUCCGUGGCCUCCCUGUUUUCCUCCUGCCUGGCAGCUCCAUCUUUAACAUCCUUUGCUCAGUAUAUUCGCUAUCGCUCCCUUUUUUCCACUGAAAUCACUGUAGUUACUGUAAGGUUUCACAGGGAAGCAAUAAGAGGUUAAACAUUAUAAAUUUACCAUUAAAACAGCCAUUGGCUUAGUGUUUUGAGGUCAUCAGUUGGUCUAUGUAUGGAUUUCUGGCAAAAAACAAAACCAAUGUAUAACAUUUUAAAUUGAGUUCAGACAGCUUACACAAGUCCAAGAUGUUAAACACAAACAGCAUAAAUGAAACACACAAGGCAGCCC